CUUACAGGUUUGUGUGUAAAAUUAUAUUGUCUUCAGAAGUAGAAGCAGAAAACUCUGUCUUGAAGUGAUACUUUUGAUUUUAAACACGACCAUAACGUAGUACAAAGUAAACCUAAAAAUUAGCUCUCCAAGCCCCCUGAUGAUGUGGUUAUAGUGCAAUAAGUGCACUGACACUUCCCAGGAUAAACUGGUUGACACUUUACCUGAGGUCCACCAGUUGUCUCCUCAGUGGAGAUGGAGGCUCGUGCAAAGAGCACCAGCAGAAUGAUUUGACCACGUACCCAGGGAGGACACCAAGG
Pelobates cultripes (western spadefoot toad) is the source of this 299-nucleotide non-coding RNA. The record is from the annotation of a GenBank genome assembly. Lineage: Eukaryota; Metazoa; Chordata; Amphibia; Anura; Pelobatidae.